UGAGGAGUCGCCUAAUGGGAUGGCAUCGCUUUUUGGCAGCGAAAUAAUGCAGGUUCGAUCCCUGCCUCCUCAG
Molecule: transfer RNA, 73 nt
Filed under: Hormoscilla sp. SP12CHS1
Lineage: Bacteria; Bacillati; Cyanobacteriota; Cyanophyceae; Gomontiellales; Gomontiellaceae
Also listed under: 1 other name
Description: tRNA-Gln
Rfam family: tRNA
About the family: Transfer RNA (tRNA) molecules are approximately 80 nucleotides in length. Their secondary structure includes four short double-helical elements and three loops (D, anti-codon, and T loops).
Source: RNAcentral